UGUCGGAGUGCCCCAUGGGGCUGAGACCGUUCAUUCGGGAUCCGUUGAACCUGAUCAGGCUAAUACCUGCGAAGGGAACAAGCGA
Molecule: non-coding RNA, 85 nt
Filed under: zebrafish metagenome
Description: TPP riboswitch (THI element)
Rfam family: TPP riboswitch aptamer (THI element)
About the family: Vitamin B(1) in its active form thiamin pyrophosphate (TPP) is an essential coenzyme that is synthesised by coupling of pyrimidine and thiazole moieties in bacteria. The previously detected thiamin-regulatory element, thi box was extended, resulting in a new, highly conserved RNA secondary structure, the THI element, which is widely distributed in eubacteria and also occurs in some archaea. Analysis of operon structures identified a large number of new candidate thiamin-regulated genes, mostly transporters, in various prokaryotic organisms.
Source: RNAcentral